UGCAAGUCGAGCGGACGAAUGGGAGCUUGCUCCCUGAUGUUAGCGGCGGACGGGUGAGUAACACGUGGGUAACCUGCCUGUAAGACUGGGAUAACUCCGGGAAACCGGGGCUAAUACCGGAUGGUUGUUUGAACCGCAUGGUUCAGACAUAAAAGGUGGCUUCGGCUACCACUUACAGAUGGACCCGCGGCGCAUUAUCUAGUUGGUGAGGUAACGGCUCACCAAGGGGACGAUGCGUAGCCGACCUGAGAGGGUGAUCGGCCACACUGGGACUGAGACACGGCCCAAACUCCUACGGGAGGCAGCAGUAGGGAAUCUUCCGCAAUGGACGAAAGUCUGACGGAGCAACGCCGCGUGAGUGAUGAAGGUUUUCGGAUCGGAAAGCUCUGUUGUUAGGGAAGAACAAGUGCCGUUCAAAUAGGGCGGCACCUUGACGGUACCUAACCAGAAAGCCACGGCUAACUACGUGCCAACAGCCGCGGUAAUACCUAGGUGGCAAGCGUUGUCCGGAAUUAUUGGGCGUAAAGGGCUCGCAGGCGGUUUCUUAAGUCUGAUGUGAAAGCCCCCGGCUCAACCGGGGAGGGUCAUUGGAAACUGGGGAACUUGAGUGCAGAAGAGGAGAGUGGAAUUCCA
Molecule: ribosomal RNA, 633 nt
Filed under: Bacillus velezensis
Lineage: Bacteria; Bacillati; Bacillota; Bacilli; Caryophanales; Bacillaceae
Description: bacterial SSU rRNA
Rfam family: Bacterial small subunit ribosomal RNA
Source: RNAcentral